Long non-coding RNA from Megalobrama amblycephala (Wuchang bream), 2501 nucleotides. RefSeq lists it as uncharacterized. The record is from RefSeq and is a predicted model, not a curated record. NCBI's taxonomy places the organism in Eukaryota, Metazoa, Chordata, Actinopteri, Cypriniformes, Xenocyprididae. The transcript is spliced from 3 exons.
UCUCAGAACACAUCGAACAAAUAAUCCUAACAGAAUGUACGACAGCUGUUGGAGUCGGUCCGACUUUUUGUCAACAUACUGGCCCAGUUUGUUCUGGGUGUUUGCACAGCUGGCAUUAGCACAUAAAACCUGCGAUUUACAGCUAUGAUUUUUAAUAGCUAACUCUAAAAUUAAUAUUGUGUCAAUUUACUCGAUCUUAUUUAGUUUCAACCCCUUCAUAAGGUCUGGGUGUGUUAAGCUCAAAAAUGAAAAAUAAAGCACCAUAAAAGUGUCCAUAAAAGCAUCAUAAAACUGGUUCAAGAAGAGAGAGAAACUUAGGUUGUUAUUCACUAAUAAUGCUCACCUCUACAGAUGCUUUGAAAUGAACAAAAAAAGAAUAUAGCACACAAGUUAUAUGGACCACUUUUAUGGAUAGUCCAUUUACACCAAGAGCAAAUAGCCCACCUUUUUGGCAAAGGCUAUUUACAUUAAAGGCCCAGGUAUACUUCAUUUUCCACAUUCAGCUUCGUCAAACAGUUGAGGGGGCAGAACUUUCAAAGUAUUUUACUUUGGCCGUGAGUGCGGAAAGACGCAUUCGGCAUGUGUGCACUAUCUAUUUGACUUAGGGUGACCACCAUCAAACAAACCAAAUGUGGGACGAUUACUAAGUUUGUGUGGGACAAUGUGGGACAUGUUUCCAACACUAAAACAUAACCUGAAGCUGUUAUAUAAUGUCUUUCUAACUUAAUAACAACAUUUGUAUUCUGGCUUUCAGCUGAUAAAAAUACUUUGUUCUUUAGUCCCUUCCAGAAAACACCAUUACAUCACAAUGUAUGUCUUUAUUUUACAUGUCAUUUAAAUUAAAUAUCACUGACCCUAAAGGCAGCAGGCAUCAUGCAGAUAACUAUUUUUGAAUUAGGUGACCAGAUUUCUGAAAUGAAAACAUGGGACAUUUCCUAUUUUAGGUGAACAAAAAUCUCAUUUGUUAUUAUCUAUUUAAAAAAACAGGGACAAUACAUUUUUUAAUGUUUUUGUUUUUAAUUGUUGUGGGUUCCUUAUAGGCUAUUAUUACAUGAAUAAUUAUGAUUUAGUUUUAUUAUUAGGAUUUUUGCUCUGGUUUAAAUACAACCAAAAAAACUUUUACACGAUUAAUAGUAAUCACUAUAAAACCAGUUCUAAACAAUACUGUUAUAGCCUUACAUUCGUGUGACUUUACAAAAACAUAUUACAUUUUAAAAAUAAAACAUAAAUAAGCCUAUAAGAAGAUAAAUAUUUAACAAAUAUGUUUUAACAUUAUUGAAUUUAAUAUUUUAAUUGUCAAAUGCUGUUUUUAGCUACUGUACAGAAAUUAGGUUACAACUGUUUUAACUUUUAACUAAUUUUAACUAUUAUUUAGCAUUUUAGCAUUAUUUUAAGCAAAAGGUAUGUGUAUUAUUAUUUUUUUUUUUUAUUUAUUCAUAUCUGAGUGUACCUUCACCACGUAACGUUAGUUAAGACGUGUGUGUGGAAAUUGCUGCGUUAUGACUGCGGAACUUUUGUGGACGUUUAAAAUUGUGCAAAACAAUCUCACACCCUGUUGAGGCCCUGUUAUAAAACAUACAAACAGUUUGAAUAGUUAGUAUGUUACUAACCUUGAAACUGAUAACGAUGUUUAUUUUGAUAUUCGACGAUAAUGGCGCUUUGCUCUGGUCCAGAUCCAGAUUACGUUCCUCAUGAAGUAGCGGCGCGCGCGCGACCAAGUGUAGCUGCACACAGCCCCCUCUGUUGGAGAACAUGAUCACUACACAAUUGCUCCAGCAGGCUGCUGUAUGCUCGUCGGAACAGACCACAGUCUAUGGAACAGACUGAUGAAAAUGCGGGACAUUUUCGCAAUAUGCGACGUGCGGUACAAGGAGUUAAAAUGUUGUGCGGUACAACGCAAAACGGGACGGGUGGUCACCCUAAUUUGACUUUGUUUUCAUGCGCUCAAGUCACUUGCACGUGCACUGACACAAAAAGGGCUGCACGCGAACAAUGUUCGCGGAUGUCCGCGGACCCUCCCGAUGAUGAAAAUCACAUCACGCGGACAGUGUGCAGACCGCCCGCGAAAUGCGGAUGGCCGAAGUAUAGGCCUAUUUAAUGUUUGUAAACAUUCGGGAUGCGCGCGCAUCAUGGUUGCAGAAAACCCGGGAGUGAUAACCAGUACGACUAGAGAGUUACGACGAAGCGGUUCAAAGUAGUUUCACCCAAGUACGAAUGACUGAAGAACCUAAUGAUGCAGCACUGGUCUUUGCGGUUCCGGCGCAUGUUGAAGAAACAGCUGUCUGCGAUGGCGAAGACGUGUGGAGGGAGAUCACCCAACCGCCGGUCUGUGUACUGCUCCACCUGCUCCGGAGUGUAGAUUGGCAGCAGCUGAAAUCAUGCCAAAGAUGACAUUAGCAACACUUCUAGAGUCAAGAGCACCAGUUCUUCACCAUCAGUGGAAAGAUCUUACCUUUCCCUCAUCGUCGAUGAGCUGAAGUUGCCCAGCGUCUGAGAGUCUG